RNAcentral lists this ribosomal RNA (616 nucleotides) under uncultured bacterium. RNAcentral's name for it is "bacterial SSU rRNA". It matches the Rfam family "Bacterial small subunit ribosomal RNA", at positions 28 to 635 of the family's 1533-position model. The record is from RNAcentral.
AUUGAACGCUGGCGGCAUGCCUAACACAUGCAAGUCGAACGGAAACGAUGGAAGCUUGCUUCCAGGCGUCGAGUGGCGGACGGGUGAGUAAUACUUAGGAAUCUACCCAGUAGCGGGGGACAACUCGGGGAAACUCGAGCUAGUACCGCAUACGCCCUACGGGGGAAAGCAGGGGAUCUUCGGACCUCGCACUAUUGGAUGAGCCUAAGUCGGAUUAGCUUGUUGGUGAGGUAAAGGCUCACCAAGGCGACGAUCCGUAGCUGGUCUGAGAGGACGAUCAGCCACACUGGGACUGAGACACGGCCCAGACUCCUACGGGAGGCAGCAGUGGGGAAUAUUGGACAAUGGGGGCAACCCUGAUCCAGCAAUGCCGCGUGUGUGAAGAAGGCCUGCGGGUUGUAAAGCACUUUCAGUAGAGAAGAAAAGCCUACGGAUAAUACCCGUGGGUCUUGACGUUACCUACAGAAGAAGCUCCGGCUAACUCCGUGCCAGCAGCCGCGGUAAUACGGAGGGAGCGAGCGUUAAUCGGAAUUACUGGGCGUAAAGCGCGCGUAGGCGGCUUUGUAAGUCGGAUGUGAAAGCCCUGGGCUUAACCUGGGAAUGGCAUUCGAUACUG